This 109-nucleotide microRNA precursor is filed under the name Chlorocebus sabaeus (green monkey). Its description in RNAcentral is "miRNA (ENSCSAG00000027921.1)". The record is from RNAcentral. Lineage: Eukaryota; Metazoa; Chordata; Mammalia; Primates; Cercopithecidae.
GAUGAAUGAAUGUGUUAGGUGGGCACAAAAGUAAUUGCGGUUUUUGCCAUUGAAAGUAAUGGCAAAAACGGCAAUUUUUUAAAAUUAUUAUUAUACUUUUUAAGUUCUA